UACGUAGGGGGCAAGCGUUGUCCGGAUUUAUUGGGCGUAAAGAGCGUGUAGGCGGCUUUACAGGUCCGUUGUGAAAACUCGAGGCUCAACCUCGAGACGCCGGUGGAAACCGUAAAGCUAGAGUCCGGAAGAGGAGAGUGGAAUUCCUGGUGUAGCGGUGAAAUGCGUAGAUAUCGGGAGGAACACCUGUGGCGAAGGCGGCCCCCUGGUUGGAUACUGACGCUGAGACGCGAAAGCGUGGGGAGCAAACAGG
This 253-nucleotide ribosomal RNA is filed under the name uncultured bacterium. RNAcentral's name for it is "partial 16S ribosomal RNA". It matches the Rfam family "Bacterial small subunit ribosomal RNA", at positions 524 to 776 of the family's 1533-position model. The record is from RNAcentral.